GCCCAUUCCAGUCCUUGGACAAGCCCCUGAAUCUGCAGGUGGGCAGGUAGCUGGCUACAGGUAGGGGUGACCGAGGAGCAGGCCCUACUGAGACCGACCGUGGAGAGCAGCUUGCUAAGGAGCACAGCGUGGACACCUCGUGGCUUCCUGCCCUCUACCCAGCUCCAUGCCAGCCGCAACAGCUGAGCUGAGUAGCCUGAGGGGGCAGCCGGUACAAAGACUCACAGGCCCUUUCUCCUGUGACCACGGAGGCCGCUUCAUCCUUGCUUCGCCUGGCAACCAUCGCACUCAGAAUUGAAAAGCCGAGACUUCUCAAAGGACACAAGAGCACCCCUCACCUUCCCUUCGGCCUCCCGUUCUUCUCCCUGCUCCUUGUUCACGCCACCCCAGCGACACUGGCUCUGUUUCUCGAAUGUGCUGAGCAAAAUGUUCCUACUCCCUUUGUCACUGGGGACCACAAGCUUUUCUCCCCUUUUCAGUCUCCUCUCAAACGGCACGUGGUCAGCAAGGCUUCCUCUGACCAUUCCUUUUAACAUUUAUUUAAUUUUAUGUAUAUGUGUGUGUGCCUGGGUGCACCUAUAUGUACCACACAGGUGCAGUGUCCAAGGUGAAGAGGCAUUGGAUCUCCUGGAACUGGAGUUACAAAUGGUUGUGAGCCACCAAUUGAAAUUCAGGUCCUCUGCAAGAGCAGCCAGUGCUCUUAACCACUGAGCCAUCUCUCUAGCCCUGACCAUCCCUUUUAAAAUGGCCUCUCCUGAUGGCUCAGCCUAUAAGAACACUGGCUGCUCAUCCAGAGGACCUAAGUCCAGCCCUUCAUGGCAGCUCACAACCAUCUGUGACUUAAGUUCCUGGGAAUCCAAAGUCCUCUUCUGGCCUCCUUGGGCACCAGGCAUGUUCAUGGUGCACAAGAUAUGUUCACAGGUAAAACAUCUGUACAUAAAAUAAAAUGCCUCUCUCUAACGAACAACGGCUUUCAGGCCACUGAUAUGUCGUCCUUCCCAUCAAGAGCAGAAGUGUCCUGAGGUCAAGAGCUAUGCUGUUUCUCUUUCUUUCUUUCCUUCUUUCCUUUCUUUCUUUCUUU
Peromyscus maniculatus bairdii (prairie deer mouse) is the source of this 1081-nucleotide non-coding RNA. NCBI's taxonomy places the organism in Eukaryota, Metazoa, Chordata, Mammalia, Rodentia, Cricetidae. The record is from RefSeq and is a predicted model, not a curated record.